AUCAGAAACAAGGUAAAUAGCAGAUUAUGCAUACAUUAGCCAACAUAAGGCACAGUCAUGUGAAGAGAAUGUAGAUUCAAACUUAAACAUAAGUUUUCAUGUGUCAGUUCAGGCUAGGCAAAUUAUGAGGUUAACGUUCAUAAAUAUAACAGUAAAGGUAAGGUAAGCAUGCAAGUCAGCUGGUGUAAAAUGUAAAACAGGCUUAUCAACAAUCAAGGAACAUAAUACUCUUGUCUGACUGUAAUAAAUGAGUAUGUGUCUAACUAUGUGGACUCGCCAGGUAUGUAAAGGCUAGUUAAUACCAUGAUAGAAGUAUACAUGUAUAGGCUGUGCAACAGAAUAAAGUCAAGCUAUUUAUGGUUAGCCUGGGCGACAUUUCUAUGAGACUGUGGAGACAUAUGUGCACUUUGAUGCUAGAGAUGUAGUAAUGGUAUGCUGGGCAAUUUGUGUAUACAUAGAAGGGACUAGCUUAAUGCUGUAUUCAGAGUCCUGUAUGUGUGGAUCACCCCACUCCCGCUCUCACCACGGUGGUCCCACUGUAAGACCAAAGUCCAGCUUUUUGCUGAUGCCCCCUUGAAAGCCUAGCAUAUCUCAUUGAUAUUACAAUUAUGGCAUUUGAGCAGUGGACGUUUUUGUAUAUAGAUGUAGAAAUAAAAC
Molecule: non-coding RNA, 657 nt
Organism: Pelobates cultripes (western spadefoot toad)
Lineage: Eukaryota; Metazoa; Chordata; Amphibia; Anura; Pelobatidae
Source: the annotation of a GenBank genome assembly